RNAcentral lists this ribosomal RNA (251 nucleotides) under uncultured prokaryote. Its description in RNAcentral is "partial 16S rRNA". It matches the Rfam family "Bacterial small subunit ribosomal RNA", at positions 525 to 775 of the family's 1533-position model. The record is from RNAcentral.
ACGAACCGUACAAACGUUAUUCGGAAUCACUGGGCUUAAAGGGUGCGUAGGCGGCUUGUUAAGUUGGGUGUGAAAUACCUCGGCUCAACCGAGGAAUUGCGCCCAAAACUGGCGAGCUUGAGGGAGAUAGAGGUGAGCGGAACUUAGGGUGGAGCGGUGAAAUGCGUUGAUAUCCUAAGGAACACCUGUGGCGAAAGCGGCUCACUGGAUCUUUUCUGACGCUGAGGCACGAAAGCUAGGGGAGCGAACGG